AUACGUAGGUGGCAAGCGUUGUCCGGAUUUACUGGGCGUAAAGAGUAUGUAGGCGGAUAUUUAAGUCAGAUGUGAAAUACCCCGAGCUCAACUUGGGUGCUGCAUUUCAAACUGGAGGUCUAGAGUGUCGGAGAGGUAAGUGGAAUUCCUAGUGUAGCGGUGAAAUGCGUAGAGAUUAGGAAGAACCCCCGGUGGCGAAGGCGACUUACUGGACGAUAACUGACGCUGAGGCUCGAAAGCGUGGGGAGC
RNAcentral lists this ribosomal RNA (249 nucleotides) under uncultured bacterium. Its description in RNAcentral is "partial 16S ribosomal RNA". It matches the Rfam family "Bacterial small subunit ribosomal RNA", at positions 523 to 769 of the family's 1533-position model. The record is from RNAcentral.